RNAcentral lists this small RNA (133 nucleotides) under Citrobacter werkmanii. Its description in RNAcentral is "RtT sRNA". It matches the Rfam family "RtT RNA". Rfam says of the family: This family represents a bacterial cis-regulatory element known as RtT RNA. The record is from RNAcentral. RNAcentral also lists the same sequence under 1 other name. Lineage: Bacteria; Pseudomonadati; Pseudomonadota; Gammaproteobacteria; Enterobacterales; Enterobacteriaceae.
UUGCAUUAUGGCCCGUGAGGAUGAGAACCUCCGGGGGCAAGAGGUUCGACUCGAGCGUAGCGAGAGAACGUUGCGCCAGCAACGGCCCGCAGGGCGAGCCACGCGGUGGCGAGUAAUCCUCUAUCACCGACCA